Molecule: ribosomal RNA, 315 nt
Filed under: uncultured bacterium
Lineage: Bacteria
Description: bacterial SSU rRNA
Rfam family: Bacterial small subunit ribosomal RNA
Source: RNAcentral
AAGAAGCACCGGCUAACUCCGUGCCAGCAGCGCGGUAAUACGGAGGGUGCGAGCGUUAAUCGGAAAUUACUGGGCGUUAAAGCGCAUGCAGGCGGCCUGUUAAGUCAGAUGUCGAAAGCCCCGGGGCUUAACCUCGGAAUUGCAUUUGAAACUGGCAGGCUAGAGUCUUGUAGAGGGGGUAGAAUUUCAGGUGUAGCGGUGAAAAUGCGUAGAGAUCUGAAGGAAUACCAGUGGCGAAGGCGGCCCCCUGGACAAAGACUGACGCUCAGAUGCGAAAAGCGUGGGGGAGCAAACAGGAUUAGAUACCCCUGGUAG